This 100-nucleotide small nucleolar RNA is filed under the name Arabidopsis thaliana (thale cress). Its description in RNAcentral is "ncRNA (AT5G09020)". It matches the Rfam family "Small nucleolar RNA Z107/R87". From Rfam's summary of the family: Z107 and R87 are members of the C/D class of snoRNA which contain the C (UGAUGA) and D (CUGA) box motifs. Most of the members of the box C/D family function in directing site-specific 2'-O-methylation of substrate RNA Lineage: Eukaryota; Viridiplantae; Streptophyta; Magnoliopsida; Brassicales; Brassicaceae. The record is from RNAcentral.
CGUGGUGAUGACUUGGAAAUAUUCAAGCUCAACAGACCGUAAUGUAGGAUUUUUCCUAGUGGAAAGUCUUGCGUGUGUCGAUAAUCCCGCUGAACUGAGC